UUGACCUCGAAUCAGGUAGGAAUACCCGCUGAACUUAAGCAUAUCAAUAAGCGGAGGAAAAGAAACCAACAGGGAUUGCCCCAGUAACGGCGAGUGAAGCGGCAACAGCUCAAAUUUGAAAUCUGGCUCUCGGGCCCGAGUUGUAAUUUGUAGAGGAUGCUUUUGGUGAGGUGCCUUCCGAGUUCCCUGGAACGGGACGCCAUAGAGGGUGAGAGCCCCGUCUGGUUGGACACCGAUCCUCUGUAAAGCUCCUUCGACGAGUCGAGUAGUUUGGGAAUGCUGCUCUAAAUGGGAGGUAUAUGUCUUCUAAAGCUAAAUACCGGCCAGAGACCGAUAGCGCACAAGUAGAGUGAUCGAAAGAUGAAAAGAACUUUGAAAAGAGAGUUAAACAGUACGUGAAAUUGUUGAAAGGGAAGCGCUUGUGACCAGACUUGGGCUUGGUUGAUCAUCCGGGGUUCUCCCCGGUGCACUCUUCCGGCUCAGGCCAGCAUCAGUUCGCCCUGGGGGAUAAAGGCUUCGGGAAUGUGGCUCUCUCCGGGGAGUGUUAU
RNAcentral lists this ribosomal RNA (548 nucleotides) under Fusarium solani. Its description in RNAcentral is "eukaryotic LSU rRNA". It matches the Rfam family "Eukaryotic large subunit ribosomal RNA", at positions 1 to 559 of the family's 3401-position model. Lineage: Eukaryota; Fungi; Ascomycota; Sordariomycetes; Hypocreales; Nectriaceae. The record is from RNAcentral.